Molecule: ribosomal RNA, 446 nt
Filed under: uncultured bacterium
Lineage: Bacteria
Description: partial 16S ribosomal RNA
Rfam family: Bacterial small subunit ribosomal RNA
Source: RNAcentral
CCUACGGGUGGCAGCAGUCGAGAAUUAUUCACAAUGGGGGAAACCCUGAUGGUGCGACGCCGCGUGGGGGAAUGAAGGUCUUCGGAUUGUAAACCCCUGUCAUGUGGGAGCAAAUUAAAAAGAUAGUACCACAAGAGGAAGAGACGGCUAACUCUGUGCCAGCAGCCGCGGUAAUACAGAGGUCUCAAGCGUUGUUCGGAAUCACUGGGCGUAAGGCGUGCGUAGGCUGUUUCGUAAGUCGUGUGUGAAAGGCGCGGGCUUAACCCGCGGACGGCACAUGAUACUGCGAGACUAGAGUAAUGGAGGGGGAACCGGAAUUCUCGGUGUAGCAGUGAAAUGCGUAGAUAUCGAGAGGAACACUCGUGGCGAAGGCGGGUUCCUGGACAUUAACUGACGCUGAGGCACGAAGGCCAGGGGAGCGAAAGGGAUUAGAUAUCCGAGUAGUC